GUAGCAACUUUAAAUUUGCACCAUAUUUAGACGAAAGCUGACUCUAAUGAUGAGGUGGGUUUCAUGAAAAUCACCCAGAAUCCUGAUUUUUGACAGCUUCCUAAACAUCAGGAUCAAAAUGAUUUGCGAGAUGUGGCCCUUCUUGUACUGUUGUCUUUUACGGCUCAUUCCUCCUCAAGUAGACUAGACCUCAACACCCGGGUAUCAAAAAUGGAUAAAGGAAACUUUGCCUAAACGGCAUGGAUUUUCGUGAUUUGGACGCUCUUUCAUUGUCUUCCACAACCAGGCCAACUACGAAGAUCCUCCUGAGCACAAUCUAACGAAGAAACCCCACCGAAGACUUAUUGUAAUUGUACCGAGUAACAGCUUAAAUGUCAAAAAUUAAAAAACUUUGCAUUAAUUUGCACAAUUUGACCAUGGA
Dendroctonus ponderosae (mountain pine beetle) is the source of this 421-nucleotide long non-coding RNA. RefSeq lists it as uncharacterized. Lineage: Eukaryota; Metazoa; Arthropoda; Insecta; Coleoptera; Curculionidae. The transcript has 3 exons. The record is from RefSeq and is a predicted model, not a curated record.